This 461-nucleotide ribosomal RNA is filed under the name Xanthomonas sp. IGS85. RNAcentral's name for it is "bacterial SSU rRNA". It matches the Rfam family "Bacterial small subunit ribosomal RNA", at positions 11 to 480 of the family's 1533-position model. The record is from RNAcentral. Lineage: Bacteria; Pseudomonadati; Pseudomonadota; Gammaproteobacteria; Lysobacterales; Lysobacteraceae.
GUUUGAUCCUGGCUCAGAGUGAACGCUGGCGGCAGGCCUAACACAUGCAAGUCGAACGGCAGCACAGUGGUAGCAAUACCAUGGGUGGCGAGUGGCGGACGGGUGAGGAAUACAUCGGAAUCUACCUUUUCGUGGGGGAUAACGUAGGGAAACUUACGCUAAUACCGCAUACGACCUUAGGGUGAAAGCGGAGGACCUUCGGGCUUCGCGCGGAUAGAUGAGCCGAUGUCGGAUUAGCUAGUUGGCGGGGUAAAGGCCCACCAAGGCGACGAUCCGUAGCUGGUCUGAGAGGAUGAUCAGCCACACUGGAACUGAGACACGGUCCAGACUCCUACGGGAGGCAGCAGUGGGGAAUAUUGGACAAUGGGCGCAAGCCUGAUCCAGCCAUGCCGCGUGGGUGAAGAAGGCCUUCGGGUUGUAAAGCCCUUUUGUUGGGAAAGAAAAGCAGUCGGUUAAUACCC